CCGCUGCUGGCGAUCCUGCAUAAAACGCGUGGCUUAUGCGCCACUCCUCGAAAGGAGACCACGAGCCCAAUUUUAAAUUGCCCGGAUGAGACUCCCAAAGGGCGAGUCCAUUUGAAAUUUCCUGAAUAGGAUUUACGGAUCGAUCCAGCUGGCUACGAUCUAAAACGUCCAAACGGGAACACCCUAUUAUCGCAACAUAACCACACAGUCACGACGACACUCAGAGAACGAUCCCUCACUGAGCUGGAAGACACUCAUAAAACAACCCAAUCAAACUCAACAUAUGGAGGACGGGACACGAAACUACCAAAAACCGCGCAGUGAUGUGAAAUACAAUUAAACGAUCAAAUUGCUAGGAAAGAACAUGUUGACACAUUUAUUCAGGGACGGAUACGAAAUAUAUUCACUUAACAACUAGGAUAACAUACAUAUUUAUUGGCUACAACUCGAGUUGGAAAUCAUUCUGUGUGUUUGUGUUCGUUCUACUUCUACACUUCCUAGCUGGUGUGCGAUUCCCUAGCUCCUCCUUCUCUAUCUAACUGUGCUCAGUGCUCUCAUUCGUGACGUCACAUGGAAUCGAAGCUCGACUGCGUCGAUGUCUGCGCUCCGGGUGUUCGACUUUUUCUGCAGUGGUGGCAAGACGGCUCACGCACGCAUUUUCACGGAACCGGAGGCUCCGAAGACGUUGUCGGAAGGAAUUCCGAUCUCCGAAAAAGAUGUUGGUUGGCUUUAGCAGCACUUCUUCAGUCUUUGACUGGUACAAAAAAAUCCUCCGCGGCGCCCUCAGCGGACGCCGCACUCCGCAAAAAAAAGAAAUUGGUUGACUCACCGAUCGGUACAGCUUACUACUUGGUAGUCGAUGACCUGUAGGCCGGGUCGUUGCUCUCACCACCGCGCCGGUUUGGUUGAUUGAUGGCGGAGUUCGUUGAUCGGCUCGUCUUCGCAAUGGCGGUUGACUUACGCUUCACUGGGCUAUUGACAGCGCCCGCUAGUCAAUUGGCGAACUAGCUGGUGGAAGACCUCGUCCACCUGAAGGUCCCCAGGCCUUCUCGGACCGAUAUGGUAACGGAUCCGUCCGCUUCCGGCCGUAUGACGGAUGCCGGGUAUUUCUCGUCCGUCGGGGAAGAAGUGGUUGCGCUUGGAUGCGAAGAA
Aedes albopictus (Asian tiger mosquito) is the source of this 1152-nucleotide long non-coding RNA. RefSeq lists it as uncharacterized. The transcript has 2 exons. The record is from RefSeq and is a predicted model, not a curated record. Lineage: Eukaryota; Metazoa; Arthropoda; Insecta; Diptera; Culicidae.